GAUAAAUCCCAGGAUAACUGGGCGAAAGGGUCGGCGAGGCUAAUUUGCUGGCCCCCUAUCAAGACGCGACGGGUUCGCGAUGAAACUCGGCUGGAAGAUUGCUUCGGCGAUUGGACGGACGGGCGGAAUGCGGAAAACCGGGCGGGGAGAAGGCACAGUUCACACGAGUGCCCGGUGGCGUUCGCACGCUGCCGAAAAUGCGAAAUGGCACUCAGGAAGUGAGGGGUGAAAAAGUGCGGGCGAAAGCUCACACAAAGAGCCACCCCGAACUGACUCACGAACGUGAUAGAGACACUUCAGGCAACCCUUCGGGGAAGCUAUGCAGACCGUCUCAUUCGCCGGACUGGUCCAGAUUCGAUUCCUUCGGGGAUUGGAACUGUAAGUCAGAAACUCAAGCCUGCUUCGGGCCUGAGUGGAAAAGUAGUUGCCCAGAGGGUAUUGGUUGCCUACUACGAAAAUUGGCACGGCAGGAAUCUAAAAUUGGCCGGUGACGGCCAGCCAGACGAAAUCCUCUGAAAGGAGGGACAAAGCUGGGGUUCCCGUCGGGAUAGCCACGAGCCCAAGACAACGGCCGUGAAAACUAUCCGGCAAGGUGGCGAUGCAAAAAACUGCAGCGCUGUCAUGUGAACGAAAUGGCAACCUGAGGGGUAAGAGGCGAGACCCGUGGCACGGGCCAACGCACCGCCAAAAGCGGUGGCCGACCUGUGCCAGAUGGCUUGGAUGUGAUUGGUUCACAUCCGCGUCCAAGCCUGGUCCGCGGGUCAGUGGCCGCAACCACUGGCUGAAGCGGGCAAAUAAACCUCACCCGAAAAUUCAAGUGCUGUAAGGCCUUGGACGGCCCUGUUAUGAGGCCGACAACUCCGCGAGUCACGGGGAAUGGCGUCGGGGAGCAAUCAACCUGCUUGCAGGUGCCUAAUGAUUGUAUCUGGUAAAGAGCGUGUGGCGAGCGCC
This 951-nucleotide non-coding RNA is filed under the name unclassified sequences. Its description in RNAcentral is "MISL RNA". It matches the Rfam family "MISL RNA". The record is from Rfam by way of RNAcentral.